RNAcentral lists this ribosomal RNA (700 nucleotides) under uncultured bacterium. Its description in RNAcentral is "bacterial SSU rRNA". It matches the Rfam family "Bacterial small subunit ribosomal RNA", at positions 8 to 719 of the family's 1533-position model. The record is from RNAcentral.
AGAGUUUGAUCAUGGCUCAGAGUGAACGCUGGCGGCGUGCUUAACACAUGCAAGUCGAACGAGAACGGGUUACAGCUUGCUGUAACUGUCAGCUAAGUGGCGCACGGGUGAGUAAUAUAUAGGUAACAUGCCCCAAAGAAGAGGAUAACGUUUGGAAACGAACGCUAAUACUCUAUAUGCCUUUAAGUCAUAAGACUGCAAGGGAAAUAUUUAUAGCUUUGGGAUUGGCCUGUACAGUAUCAGCUAGUUGGUGAGGUAAUGGCUCACCAAGGCUAUGACGCUUAACUGGUUUGAGAGGAUGAUCAGUCACACUGGAACUGAGACACGGUCCAGACUCCUACGGGAGGCAGCAGUGGGGAAUAUUGCACAAUGGACGAAAGUCUGAUGCAGCAACGCCACGUGGAGGAUGACACAUUUCGGUGCGUAAACUCCUUUUAUAUAGGAAGAUAAUGACGGUACUAUAUGAAUAAGCACCGGCUAACUCCGUGCCAGCAGCCGCGGUAAUACGGAGGGUGCAAGCGUUACUCGGAAUCACUGGGCGUAAAGAGAAUGUAGGCGGGUUAAUAAGUUGGAAGUGAAAUCCUAUGGCUCAACCAUAGAACUGCUUUCAAAACUGUUGACCUAGAAUAUGGGAGAGGUAGAUGGAAUUUCUGGUGUAGGGGUAAAAUCCGUAGAGAUCAGAAAGAAUACCGAUUGCGAA